GGCUGGGUCCCAUACGACUGACUCUUUAGUGAAUUCCGCUAGGUCCGGAAGGAAGCAACGGUGUCUAAAGAGCAUUGCGAUAUGGGGCGCCCAGCUCUU
RNAcentral lists this signal recognition particle RNA (99 nucleotides) under Bdellovibrio sp. qaytius. RNAcentral's name for it is "signal recognition particle sRNA small type". It matches the Rfam family "Bacterial small signal recognition particle RNA". From Rfam's summary of the family: The signal recognition particle (SRP) is a universally conserved ribonucleoprotein involved in the co-translational targeting of proteins to membranes. Lineage: Bacteria; Pseudomonadati; Bdellovibrionota; Bdellovibrionia; Bdellovibrionales; Pseudobdellovibrionaceae. The record is from RNAcentral.